This 82-nucleotide transfer RNA is filed under the name Desulfobacteraceae bacterium. RNAcentral describes it as "tRNA-Ser". It matches the Rfam family "tRNA". From Rfam's summary of the family: Transfer RNA (tRNA) molecules are approximately 80 nucleotides in length. Their secondary structure includes four short double-helical elements and three loops (D, anti-codon, and T loops). Lineage: Bacteria; Pseudomonadati; Thermodesulfobacteriota; Desulfobacteria; Desulfobacterales; Desulfobacteraceae. The record is from RNAcentral.
GCCUUCGUCGCAUAAUGGUAUUGCAGCGGAUUGCUAAUCCGCGCCCUCCGGGGCUCCAGGGUUCGAUUCCCUGCUGUGGGCG